GAUGAACGCUGGCGGCGUGCCUAAUACAUGCAAGUCGAGCGAACAGACGAGGAGCUUGCUCCUCUGACGUUAGCGGCGGACGGGUGAGUAACACGUGGAUAACCUACCUAUAAGACUGGGAUAACUUCGGGAAACCGGAGCUAAUACCGGAUAAUCUAUUGAACCGCAUGGUUCAAUAGUGAAAGACGGUUUUGCUGUCACUUAUAGAUGGAUCCGCGCCGCAUUAGCUAGUUGGUAAGGUAACGGCUUACCAAGGCAACGAUGCGUAGCCGACCUGAGAGGGGGAUCGGCCACACUGGAACUGAGACACGGUCCAGACGCCUACGGGAGGCAGCAGUAGGGAAUCUUCCGCAAUGGGCGAAAGCCUGACGGAGCAACGCCGCGUGAGUGAUGAAGGUCUUCGGAGCGUAAAACUCUGUUAUUAGGGAAGAACAAAUGUGUAAGUAACUAUGCACGUCUUGACGGUACCUAAUCAGAAAGCCACGGCUAACUACGUG
Molecule: ribosomal RNA, 497 nt
Filed under: uncultured bacterium
Lineage: Bacteria
Description: partial 16S ribosomal RNA
Rfam family: Bacterial small subunit ribosomal RNA
Source: RNAcentral